UCCCUGAUUUACUCCAAGGUCUUGCUCCUUCCAACGACACGAAUAUAGAGUACAUUGCAGAGAACUCCAGAGAUGAAAUAUAAUAACUUUAGCUUCCAUUUCAGGGAUUCCGGUGAUAUAUAUUUAUUCUGGUAAAAGAAUUUGAGAGAUGAAAUGAAAAUAAAUUAGUUGCAGUUCUUUCCCUGCCAUGAUAUGAAUAAUUUUCCAGUAAAAGCAACAAUCACAAUUCUGUAGUAUUUAUCAGGAAAUAAUGUGAACAGAGAUUCAAGCCUCUAAACAUUAUCUUCCACUGAAUCUCCUCUUAUAUUGAUCUUACAUUACUACAGAUAUUACUCACCUCAACUCUAUAUCUUAAAAUAAGCCACCACAUUUCCAACUAAAUCCUUGUGUCUUCGCCUGCUAAGAAUUUUUUUUGUUUUCUAUCUCUUGAAACACUUAUCUCA
Molecule: long non-coding RNA, 443 nt
Filed under: Eutrema salsugineum
Lineage: Eukaryota; Viridiplantae; Streptophyta; Magnoliopsida; Brassicales; Brassicaceae
Description: long non-coding RNA (ESAL_LNC000312)
Source: RNAcentral